Dunckerocampus dactyliophorus (ringed pipefish) is the source of this 6151-nucleotide long non-coding RNA. RefSeq lists it as uncharacterized. The transcript has 6 exons. The record is from RefSeq and is a predicted model, not a curated record. NCBI's taxonomy places the organism in Eukaryota, Metazoa, Chordata, Actinopteri, Syngnathiformes, Syngnathidae.
GAAACACAGUUGUGUUUAAGAAUAAUAUAAAUAAUAAUAGUUACCGUGAUGCUCAGACAGUGUUGUGGUGUGUUUCGUAGGAGUAGACACCCAUCCAGUAUGUGUUUGCUGGUGUGCACAUGAUGAGCCCAUCACUUAACAUGGUGUUUGCGUGAAAGACGUGUGCGUGUGAGACGUGUACAACUCAUACUUACCUGGCAGGGGAGAUACCAUGAUCAAGAAGGUGGUUCACCCAGGGUGAGGCUCAGCCAUUGCACUCCGGUUGUGCUGACCCCUGCGAAUUCCCCAAAUGUGGGAAUCUCGACUGCAUAAUUUGUGGUAGUGGGGGACUGCGUUCGCGCUCUCCCCUGAUGAUUUCGUGAGAGUCAAUUGGUGAUAUUUUGUGUUGAAGUUGUUUAUGCAAAGACAUUACGUUGGCCUUUCUCUGACCAAAAGUCUUUAAAUGCUCUAUAUACAAGAUGCAAAGUAUACUUCAUUUCCGUACUGAGGUACUUAACAGAAGGAAACGUUUAAGUCUUAGUGGGACAAGUCAUCAUGACAGUCUAACUUCACACCAGCAGGGGGCAGUAGUGUUACAAUGGGUCAAAGAAUCAGGAAGUGGUCGCAUUGCGUCACGCGUGGAGGGGUGGUAUCCACUGAUCUGUAUUAUAUAUCUGGAUAGCUCAUUGGCGAUGACUUGUGAAACCACACGGCCGCCAUAUUACCACUCGCAAGAAACACUUCACGGACAUGCUUUUGCAUUCGUGGUGAACUUCUUUUAUUAAUUCGGAUUGGACACAAAUUUUGCCUUAAGAUGCCUGCAUGUGCAGCUAUUAACUGCACAAAUCGCCAGUUCAAAGGCUGUGGACGAACAUUUCACCUGUUCCUCUGGCAAACCAGAAUGGUGAGCGGGAAUGGAUAGAUGGUUCCAAGUUCGAUGUGAAGGUGCAUGAAGAGAAGAAAAGCAAGGAUGCUGGAUGGGCAGAAGGCCAGCCUGACCGCAAGAGAGAUGACCAAGAUUAUGUGUUUCUUCACAGGGGAUGGACUCUGUGAUUAUCAAUGCAGUUGGAAAGAACCAUUUAUUUGUCAGAAGUGAUGGGGAUGGUCUCCGCUGUGUGAUCCGACUGCUCCUUCAAAGACGUCAGUGCUGAAAGAUCACCACUCUGUGUUCAAUUCAGUUGCUUUAAUGAAUCAUAAUCAGCGUGCACAUUCCCAAACAAUCGGCAAGACUGGAGACGAAACAACCAAUUUGUCCUCAUCAAGUCAGCACGUAUGUGUGGCAGGUGGGCGCCCUCUACAGGUGUGAUACUCGGACCCACAUGUUGGUCAAUCGUGAUCAAACCAAAGAAGCCAGGGGGCGGGUGCCGCUGUCCUCUGCCCCCAGGUUAAUUACAAGGUAAAAAACGUAAAUUACAACAGUAAUUGCUCAAAAAUAAAACAUUUAAUAUUACAAUGUAUGAAUUAUAUCGGAGACCAAAAGUGUGGAUAUGGUUUGGUUUAGCAUUGACUGCUAGUUGUGUUUUUGGUGACUUCAUGGAAUAGGAAAGUACAUUUCAAGGAAAAAAGUGGUCAUGCUACCCCAAUUGAGUUGCAUAAGUGACUGACGCAACACAAGCCUGCACAGCGCUGUCUUGUCAAAUGCACCACGUACUUUACCAAACAAGUGUACCAUGUAACUUUAGACACAAACCGAAAUAGAGGCAAGCUGAGGACAAUUAUUCUAAAAAAGUGGAGGCAGUGCGCAACGCCACACUUGCGUCAAUUGCACCGUGUACGCGAACGAGGCACCGAUCAACUCCUCUGUGGCUCCAGCCUGCACAGUCUGUCUCAGGAGGGGCGGUCGCUGUGUGUGACUGGCCAAUCACAGAGCGUGAAGAGUGAAUACAUAAUGAGGAUUUUCUUUCAUCACGAUUAUGGAUACUGACGAGAUGUACUCGUUUCAUGCUUGUAUUCGGCGACCAAUUCGGCGACCAAUAGCGACCACCCCUCCCCUGACAGACUCCCUACUUUCAGAGGGAGGAGUACGUGGUGCAUUUGACAAGACAGAGCUGUAAAUGGCUCAUGUUGCGUUGGUCACUGCAGAUAUUGUGGUAUAUACAAGCAAUUGAUGAAUAUGGCCCUGGGUCUGGACAGCCCUAGUGAAUUCUAACCCUCGUCAUAUAUGGCUCUAAUCAAAAGCUAAAAGAGUACCCCAAGUGUAGAUAACGCCUCCUUAAAAUUUGGUUGCAUAUUCCUUCCCUUCUCAGCUGGUAUUUUCUCCCACUCUUUUCUUCAAGCUCUGCUUUUCCCAACAGCAUAUUUCAGCUCACACCAUAGAUUUCCAGUGGGAUUAAGAUCAGGACUCAUCGCUGGCCAGUUUAAACCAGUCCAUUUUCUCCUUUUCAACCAUUACUGUGUGCUUUUGGAUGUGUGCUUUGGGUCUUUUAUCUUGCUGGAGAACCCAUGAUCUUGGGACUCAAACCUAGCUUUCUUUUACUUGGUAGCACAUUUUGUUUUAAAAUCCCUUGGAAAUCUGAUUUCAUAAUUUCCUGUGAUACGGUGAAGGCCUCCAGUACCAGAUGCAGCAAAGCAGCCCCAAAACAUUGUGGAUCCUCCACCAUGCUUAACUAUUCGGAGGGUGUUCUUUUUCCUCCGAGCUUCAUUUCACCGCCUGUAAACAAAUUGUUGAUGCGCAUUGCCAAAAAGUUAUUUUUUUUGUUUCAUCUUCCCACAAACAUUUUCCCACAAGGAUUGUUGUUUGUUCAGGUACUCGCUUGCAAAGAUCAGUGGUUCUCUUUAUGUCUUUUUUCCAGCAAUGGGGUCUUCCUUGGCUUUCGCACAUAAAGUCCUGCUUAGCUUAGUGUGCGCCGUAUCGUACCAGUUGACACCAUUAUCCCAGAUUGUUCCAGGAUAGCUUGGAGGUCUUUGGAUGUGUUACGUGGUGUUUUUUUUCCCCAGUUCGCACCUUCUCUCAUCGACUUUCCUGUUCCCCCCCAUUGAAACCUCUUAAUAACAUUCCGCACUGUUAAAACAGGGAUACCAAAGUCCUUGGAGGGCUUAUAUCCUUUAGAGGUCCCGUGUUUGCUAAUAGUAGGACUUCUGAGGACUUGGGACAGCUCUUUUGCCUUUGUGUACUGCCUUUGUCAUUGUGACAAAGGAACAGAAAAUGACGUGGCUUUUAAAACACUCAGGUCAUCUAAUUCACAUCAUGUGGUCGCUGACGGUUUAACACAGGUGAGUCAAAAAAGGGUUUUUCUCCACACGGAUUUAAAGGGUGCCAAUACCAGUGUCAAAGCAAUCUUUCACUUUUUCAAUGUUUUCCCCCCUAUUUUGCUUUAAAUUCUUUUAUCAUUUGCGGCUCUGUAUCAAACAUGAGAUGUCAAUAGCCCAAAGCUGUUUCACUAGAUUCAUUUUUUUCAGGAGACAUUCUACAUUAUGUACUUAAAUGUACACAAUGGGUGCCAGUAAUGAUGACCAGGACUGGAUAGACCUAAUGAACAGGCUGCAUGUUGGCUUUUUGGUCAGCUGCUUUCAUGAAUUUCAGACGGUGUAUUUUGAUGAUGAAUUUUGCUGUGGUUGACUUUGACAGCUGCAAAAUUUCUCAACUGAAUUCUAAACUUUGUGUUUUGACAGAUUUAAUUUCUUUCAAUGUAAUAUUUUUAAACAUGAAAUUUUGAUUUUGAAUAUGAAAAUAUUGAAAAAUAAAGGCGAAAAUUCAGGUGAAAUUUCACAAAAACAUGAAAAAUGAAAAAAAAAACGAGUAAAAAAAAUUCAGAUACACAAUUUCAAUGGACUAAUAUGCGAUGCUAAAAAUUCAGUCUCACUUUAAAUUCAAAGAUUUAUGUAACCCACAUUUAAAACAAGAAGUUUAACCCAUGUGAUCAGUAAUUACAAGUGAUUAAGAUUUAUCAAUAAUAAACUAUUAAAAUGAGUAAAAUGCCCUUUUGAAUUACACAAAUGAGCCUUAAAAUUCAUAAAUAUGUCUUAAAAUAUUGAAAUGUGUGCACAUUCUUGAUAAAAAGUCACCUUAAAAGAGAAAAUGUUUUCAUGUUCCUUUACGAAUAGUAAAAGUCCCUGGACACAAAACAGAGCACUUCCCCUUUAAGGGAGCGAGGCUUCUUAGCGCUAGCAGUGCAGUCGACGAGCUGAGAGCACAGAGCCAACUGCCGAGAGGAAAAGUGAAAUGUAAAGUGAUUAAGGAUCGCUAAAAAGAUACUUACCUGGUCGAUGAGCCACCAGAACCACAUCUUAGUGAGCAAGAAUUGACUUUUGGUCAGGUUUUUUCCGUUUUGUACCUUUUGCAUUGGAUCGAAAUACCCGUAAGAGUGUGGGAGACACCUCUACAGUGGAGACAAGAUGGCGAGCCAGAUCCAUGGACUACAGUUCUAGAACCUUCGUCGUGAUUACAAGUGAAUCCGUUUCCUCUUGGUGAACAUUGCUGCCAGUGCGCCCGCCUUCCGACCAAGCACAGUCCUCAAGCCUACUACCGACGUCACGUCCCUCCAUUCUCUCUUCCGCCGCUUCCUCCCAAAUCUUUUCUGGCAAAGGUCUAGGAAGACCACAUGGAUUAAGAAGGCCUAAUUGCGGAUGAGCUGAAGGUGUGCUGGCCAGAGCAGGUGGGAGGAGUCCUCUGCAGGACUGCAACGAGACAGCAGGGGGUAGCAGACCAAGCAGCGUGCAAAUCAUGAGUGUGGGUACCAUGUACACAAAAAUGUACAAUAUUUAUUUUUGUAUGGCUCGAAGUAACGAAGCAAUCAACACACAGUUCUAAACACAAUGGCUGAGCACACGGCACAGAUAUGCCAAAGCGCACUCUGGCUUGGUCACACAUGAUGAUUGAGAGAGUCGAGGGCAAACUGCUUUCUGCCUCCUUUAUGCCAGCUCCACCUGAUACCAAUCACCUGCACCUUCCAGGUGUGUCACCACUCUAAUAAAACCCUAUUUUUUAAGUGAUGUAAUUAAAUAUUCAUGAUUCACCCUAUUGUCAAGUUCUUCAGGACUUUCACCAGCUGUAACUUGAGAAGGCCGAGAAGAUUGCAGAGGACGCUUUAUCAACUCCAGUAGAUUUUCUUGAGUUUAUUUUGCACCUCAACUAUUUACAGGAGUUAGGUUGAUAACCUUAGAAUCAGAGAGGAAUAGCAUCAAAUUAUUACCCAUUACUGCAGUUUGUAACUUAGGAACAAUAGACGUCGCAUACCAGUGGGCUCUCUGGUCUUCUCUUGUUACAGUCAUUUGAAUAGUUGUGACAAAGAUACUCAAAUGUCGAAAGGUACUUUAAGAGUCUUUUUUUCUUUCUUUCCAUUUGUUUACUUUGUACAACCCCCAAGUAUUAAUAAUGUGUAAUAAUGUGUGUCAUAGGUCGUCACAUUAGUAUUGAAAUUCAUCACAAUUGAAAUUCAUCACCAUUGCCACAUAAGUUCUAUGCAUCAUAAUUGUCAUGUUCUUUGAUAAAUAUGCGUACAGUCAUGUGACACUUAUUUUUAACUAUAUUCUCAACCAAGCCAAAUUUGACAGAACACCUAUUUGAAUCCCUUAUUGAAGUCUAUACUCAUUAUAUAUAGUCUUAUUAAUAUCGCCUUAAAUUGUAUUUCGAAUUCCCCUAUCAGUCCAUCCAAACCUGGACUUUUAUUCCUACUUAACUAAUUGCUAUUUCUAUCUCGCUUCUAUUUCUUUCUCACUAAUAAAUUUAUCUUCCUCACUGACCUUUACACUCACCUUUUCUAGAAGUUGUUCCAUGAUGUCUUUAGCUAUCUUUUCCUCUUUAAAUAGGUCUCUAUAAAACUGCUCUACUCUCUCCACUAUUCCAAGUGCAUCAGUCAUAAUCCCCCCCUUACCUUCGACCUCCCCUAUAAAGCUCCUUUUCUGAUUUGUUUUUUCUAACCCCAGAAAGUAGCCGCUACGUUUUUCUCCCUCCACGCUUAAUUCAUACUUUAAAGUGACAUACGUCCUUUAUCUUUUCCUAUUUGUUCAGUCUCCUUAUCCAUCCCUCAGCAUCCUCUCUUUCCCUCUCUUUCCUGCUCUUAUCGCUACUAAAUUUGAAUCACUCUUUUAACCUUUUCCCACCAUUUCCCAAUAUUUCCCAAUAUUAUACUCAUACACGCUAUCGUUCAACCAGAUUGCGAUGCACGCUUCUACUUGAUUUUUAUAUUUAGCGUCGUGCAAUAAACUCCCAUUCAAACACCAGCUUCCCUCC